UGUGGGAGCGAGCCUGCUCGCGAUAGCGGUGUGUCAGGCGAUAUUUGUGUUGGCUGACCCAGCACAUCGCGAGCAGGCUCGCUCCCACA
This 89-nucleotide unclassified non-coding RNA is filed under the name Pseudomonas kilonensis. The record is from RNAcentral. Lineage: Bacteria; Pseudomonadati; Pseudomonadota; Gammaproteobacteria; Pseudomonadales; Pseudomonadaceae.